UCCUGCAAGUCCUUCAAACAGAUUUCUAGAUGAAGCUCUCCUGCACCAGCAACAAUGUGUUCUCCAGACUCCUCAAUGGUACAAACAAACAUAGGAUUAGGCUUAGCAAGACGCUUGAGACUUUCAACAGGCUUAGGAAGACUUCUUCGCAACAGUGAUUGAUGAACUUGUUACAGCUAGCCUGUUUGCCGAGCUCUCCUGGGAUUAAAUAAUUGGAAUCAUGCUGUAAAUUCCAAGAAAUUCCAAGAAUGUUCAAAAUGGGCAAGUUGCUUAAUUGCCUAAGUACAACAAUUCAUUUUAUAUUUUUCUAUUUUGGUUGACGAAAAGUUGUUGCAUAUCCUGCAGAGUAGAAUCUUCCAAGGAGACUUUUAGCAGAGAUGACAAUUGGGAAGAAGGAUGAAGUUCAACCAAAAAGUUUAGGAAAACCACCACCAUUAGAUGAAGCACGCAACCAUAACAGACAGGAUUUUACUCAAGGAUUGAAUGCUUGAAAGUGGACCAUGGAUUUGCUCAACCAAAUUAUUCAUCCUGACAUUAUUUUUCCAUGUUGAUUGCUGAAGAAACAUUGCUUUCUGAUCCAUAACAUAUGCCAUAGCCAGAGAUUGUGAAAUACCAACGGCAUUUGAUCUUUGAUCGGAAGUGAAUUUGCGCAUACAAACGGGCUUGUCCUUGACCCGAGGGGUCUGAGUUUGUUAAAAGAUGGAGCUCUUACUUGUAUUGUGUUAAAAAAUGCAGCUGGAAUUUAGAAAUGAUUGUAAUCCCUUUUUUUUGGACUUCUAUGAGUUUUCUGCUACAAAUUGUUGUCGGUGCCAUGUUCUUUAUUGUUUGUUGCAGGUUGGGGACGGGAUUGCAAGCAUGUUGAUGAGGGAGUAACGGCAGCAGGUGCAGGUGGUGGUUCAGGGUAAUUUGGUGAGAGCUGGUUAGGAGGUGCCUCUCUUUGCAAUGUCCCGACGGUUUUCUUCAGUUUGGUUUCGCAGGUUCUGCCGUUGAUGCGUUUCCGUUGCCGUUGGAGUUGGCUGAUGUUGUACUCAAAUUCAAUAUGCAGACAACCUUCUAUUCCAACUUCCAUCUUGAUGCUGUUAUUAAUCUGUGGAAGCGGAGAACAGUUGCGAACCACAAAAUCCUGGUACUCAACUAUGCUU
This is a long non-coding RNA of Lathyrus oleraceus (garden pea), 1142 nucleotides long. RefSeq lists it as uncharacterized. The record is from RefSeq and is a predicted model, not a curated record. NCBI's taxonomy places the organism in Eukaryota, Viridiplantae, Streptophyta, Magnoliopsida, Fabales, Fabaceae. The transcript is spliced from 3 exons.